This is an RNA transcript of Ciona intestinalis (vase tunicate), 989 nucleotides long. RefSeq lists it as uncharacterized. NCBI's taxonomy places the organism in Eukaryota, Metazoa, Chordata, Ascidiacea, Phlebobranchia, Cionidae. The record is from RefSeq and is a predicted model, not a curated record.
UAGUUUGGCCAAAAAAACGUUUUAAAAAGUGUUAAAAAAUCGUCCAUUGUUGCGUCACUCGCGGGCACUGUGACGUAAAUUACGUCACGAUCUGUUCUAGUCGAUCAGCUGAUUUGUGUUUUGUUCGGCAGAGAUAAAUUUAUGUUUGCAGCAAAACACAGUGUACCAUCGACAUAGCGUUAUCUGGUUGUUUUAACUUAAGAAAUAUAUGUUAGGUAUUGCCUUUGCGUGAUUUUUAUUCAAAAUUAUUAUUUAUGAAAUAUUUGUUAGUAUAUUAACACAGUUGAAGUUUGUCAGUUCAAAAUAAACCUAAAAAUGACUGAUGUGAAGUAUUGUAUUCAUCUGCUGAAUCAGAAAGUGAUGUUAGCAAAGAAGGCGAAGAUCCUGACCUAUUAGCAAUAGGUAUUGAGCCUUUCAAAUUUGAACCUGUACUUCCAGCAAGUACUGUGGUGGAAGUGGACAGGCCAAGUUCACCCACCAGUAAAACAAGUGAUGCUGAGCGAACCAAAAGUAGGUGUAGCUGCUCUAACUGUGAUAUCAUGAAUACGGAACGAGAAUGUAUUUGUUGUAUGGAAAUUGAUGUUAUAAAAUUAAAAACAGAUGAAGCUCAAGUGCAUUGCAUUACUUUUCAUCCUGGAUUCACUGGAGUUUGUUUAAAUACACAUGUGUUGCAAAUGUCAUAUUUUGGAUACAGACAAGAGCAUGGAAUACAAAUAUACCGAAAUCAUUCUACAGUAAUGGAACAAUAUCGCUACACAGCCUAUCGAAACUUUGUUCGAUGGGUAUGGGAAUGGCUGGGUAAAGAAAACAGAAAGGUUCUUCCAUCAUGCGUAGUGAAAAGAAUAAGAGAACAAUUUAGUGAAAGUUCAACAACAUUUACAGGAUUUUUACCAUCGUUAUAAAACAUUCAGUUUUCAAUGAUUUGGUUUCAUACAAAAUGUGAUAUAGACGGAAGAAUCCAUUUGUUAAUAAAGUACACUCCAACAUCA